GGGAUUGCCUCAGUAACGGCGAGUGAAGCGGCAACAGCUCAAAUUUGAAAUCUGGCGCCUUGGGCGUCCGAGUUGUAAUUUGUAGAGGGAGUCUCGGGUUAAGGGUCGGUCCAAGUGCCUUGGAACAGGAUACCGAAGAGGGUGAGAGUCCCGUAUCCGGCCGACGCCAGCGCCCGUGUGAGGCCCCUUCGACGAGUCGAGUUGUUUGGGAAUGCAGCUCUAAAUGGGUGGUAAAUUCCAUCUAAAGCUAAAUACUGGCCAGAGACCGAUAGCGCACAAGUAGAGUGAUCGAAAGAUGAAAAGCACUUUGAAAAGAGAGUCAAACAGUACGUGAAAUUGUUGAAAGGGAAGCGUAUGUGGGCAGACUUGGACGCUGGAUUCAGGCCGCCUUCUGGCGGGUGUAUUUUCCAGCGGACAGGCCAGCAUCGGUUCUGAGGGCCGGACAAAGACGAAGGGAAUGUGGCUCCUCUCUGGGGAGUGUUAUAGCCCSGCGUGCAAUGCGGCCACUUGGGACCGAGGACCGCGCAUUUUGCAAGGAUGCUGGCGUAAUGGCCUCAUACGGCCCGUCUUGAAACACGGACCAAGGAGUCUAACAUCUAUGCGAGUGUUUGGGUGUCAAGCCCGGGCGCGCAAUGAAAGUGAACGGAGGUGGGAGUCUGUGUUAGAGCGGAUGCACCAUCGACCGAUCCUGAAGUAUUCGGAAGGAUUUGAGUAAGAGCAUAGCUGUUGGGACCCGAAAGAUGGUGAACUAUGCGUGAAUAGGGUGAAGCCAGAGGAAACUCUGGUGGAGGCUCGCAGCGG
RNAcentral lists this ribosomal RNA (801 nucleotides) under Verruconis gallopava. RNAcentral's name for it is "eukaryotic LSU rRNA". It matches the Rfam family "Eukaryotic large subunit ribosomal RNA", at positions 71 to 883 of the family's 3401-position model. The record is from RNAcentral. Lineage: Eukaryota; Fungi; Ascomycota; Dothideomycetes; Venturiales; Sympoventuriaceae.